This 1554-nucleotide ribosomal RNA is filed under the name Salmonella enterica subsp. enterica serovar Mbandaka. RNAcentral's name for it is "bacterial SSU rRNA". It matches the Rfam family "Bacterial small subunit ribosomal RNA". The record is from RNAcentral. Lineage: Bacteria; Pseudomonadati; Pseudomonadota; Gammaproteobacteria; Enterobacterales; Enterobacteriaceae. RNAcentral also lists the same sequence under 2 other names.
AAAUUGAAGAGUUUGAUCAUGGCUCAGAUUGAACGCUGGCGGCAGGCCUAACACAUGCAAGUCGAACGGUAACAGGAAGCAGCUUGCUGCUUUGCUGACGAGUGGCGGACGGGUGAGUAAUGUCUGGGAAACUGCCUGAUGGAGGGGGAUAACUACUGGAAACGGUGGCUAAUACCGCAUAACGUCGCAAGACCAAAGAGGGGGACCUUCGGGCCUCUUGCCAUCAGAUGUGCCCAGAUGGGAUUAGCUUGUUGGUGAGGUAACGGCUCACCAAGGCGACGAUCCCUAGCUGGUCUGAGAGGAUGACCAGCCACACUGGAACUGAGACACGGUCCAGACUCCUACGGGAGGCAGCAGUGGGGAAUAUUGCACAAUGGGCGCAAGCCUGAUGCAGCCAUGCCGCGUGUAUGAAGAAGGCCUUCGGGUUGUAAAGUACUUUCAGCGGGGAGGAAGGUGUUGUGGUUAAUAACCGCAGCAAUUGACGUUACCCGCAGAAGAAGCACCGGCUAACUCCGUGCCAGCAGCCGCGGUAAUACGGAGGGUGCAAGCGUUAAUCGGAAUUACUGGGCGUAAAGCGCACGCAGGCGGUCUGUCAAGUCGGAUGUGAAAUCCCCGGGCUCAACCUGGGAACUGCAUUCGAAACUGGCAGGCUUGAGUCUUGUAGAGGGGGGUAGAAUUCCAGGUGUAGCGGUGAAAUGCGUAGAGAUCUGGAGGAAUACCGGUGGCGAAGGCGGCCCCCUGGACAAAGACUGACGCUCAGGUGCGAAAGCGUGGGGAGCAAACAGGAUUAGAUACCCUGGUAGUCCACGCCGUAAACGAUGUCUACUUGGAGGUUGUGCCCUUGAGGUGUGGCUUCCGGAGCUAACGCGUUAAGUAGACCGCCUGGGGAGUACGGCCGCAAGGUUAAAACUCAAAUGAAUUGACGGGGGCCCGCACAAGCGGUGGAGCAUGUGGUUUAAUUCGAUGCAACGCGAAGAACCUUACCUGGUCUUGACAUCCACAGAACUUUCCAGAGAUGGAUUGGUGCCUUCGGGAACUGUGAGACAGGUGCUGCAUGGCUGUCGUCAGCUCGUGUUGUGAAAUGUUGGGUUAAGUCCCGCAACGAGCGCAACCCUUAUCCUUUGUUGCCAGCGGUCCGGCCGGGAACUCAAAGGAGACUGCCAGUGAUAAACUGGAGGAAGGUGGGGAUGACGUCAAGUCAUCAUGGCCCUUACGACCAGGGCUACACACGUGCUACAAUGGCGCAUACAAAGAGAAGCGACCUCGCGAGAGCAAGCGGACCUCAUAAAGUGCGUCGUAGUCCGGAUUGGAGUCUGCAACUCGACUCCAUGAAGUCGGAAUCGCUAGUAAUCGUGGAUCAGAAUGCCACGGUGAAUACGUUCCCGGGCCUUGUACACACCGCCCGUCACACCAUGGGAGUGGGUUGCAAAAGAAGUAGGUAGCUUAACCUUCGGGAGGGCGCUUACCACUUUGUGAUUCAUGACUGGGGUGAAGUCGUAACAAGGUAACCGUAGGGGAACCUGCGGUUGGAUCACCUCCUUACCUUAAAGAAGC